RNAcentral lists this long non-coding RNA (432 nucleotides) under Panax ginseng (ginseng). RNAcentral's name for it is "long non-coding RNA (PGIN_LNC007634)". The record is from RNAcentral. Lineage: Eukaryota; Viridiplantae; Streptophyta; Magnoliopsida; Apiales; Araliaceae.
AAAGAUAUUCAUCAGAAAUCAUUCAUCUUUGUACUACAAGCCAAAGAUAUUCAAUAAUAUCAUCAUUUAAGACUGAGGAUGAUGAAAAAUAUUUUUAAAGAAACGAAUCCAGUGAAACAAAAUGACAAAGAUUAAGGAUUAAGGAUUCGUACUUUGUUUUAUCCAUGUCCAAAAAUACCUCAAAAAUAAUCAUAGUGGUGUAAAAUUCAAGAAUGAUCAAAACAUGGAUACAAUCAAAGCUAGUAUCCACAAUAGAUAUUUUAGAUGAAAAGGGAAAAUUUUUAUUUUUCGAUGAAUAGUGCCGUAUUCGUGAAUAGUGUCGUAUACGUGAAUAGUAACUCUGACACCAAAAGUUCCAAAUUUGAUAAAAACUUCAGAUCAAUAUUUCAGCAUAAUGAUAUUGAAGAAAUAAUAUCAUUACGAAAAAAAAAA